RNAcentral lists this ribosomal RNA (484 nucleotides) under uncultured bacterium. RNAcentral's name for it is "partial 16S ribosomal RNA". It matches the Rfam family "Bacterial small subunit ribosomal RNA", at positions 30 to 507 of the family's 1533-position model. The record is from RNAcentral.
AUUGAACGCUGGCGGCAUGCCUUACACAUGCAAGUCGAACGGCAGCGCGGACUUCGGUCUGGCGGCGAGUGGCGAACGGGUGAGUAAUACAUCGGAACGUACCCUGUUGUGGGGGAUAACUAGUCGAAAGAUUAGCUAAUACCGCAUACGACCUGAGGGUGAAAGUGGGGGACCGCAAGGCCUCACGCAGCAGGAGCGGCCGAUGUCUGAUUAGCUAGUUGGUGGGGUAAAGGCCCACCAAGGCGACGAUCAGUAGCUAGUCUGAGAGGACGAUCAGCCACACUGGGACUGAGACACGGCCCAGACUCCUACGGGAGGCAGCAGUGGGGAAUUUUGGACAAUGGGGGCAACCCUGAUCCAGCAAUGCCGCGUGCGUGAAGAAGGCCUUCGGGUUGUAAAGCACUUUUGUCCGGAAAGAAAUCGCGCUGGUUAAUACCUGGCGUGGAUGACGGUACCGGAAGAAUAAGCACCGGCUAACUACGUG